RNAcentral lists this ribosomal RNA (168 nucleotides) under uncultured Methylobacterium sp. Its description in RNAcentral is "partial 16S ribosomal RNA". It matches the Rfam family "Bacterial small subunit ribosomal RNA", at positions 337 to 522 of the family's 1533-position model. The record is from RNAcentral. Lineage: Bacteria; Pseudomonadati; Pseudomonadota; Alphaproteobacteria; Hyphomicrobiales; Methylobacteriaceae.
GCCUACGGGAGGCAGCAGUGGGGAAUAUUGGACAAUGGGCGCAAGCCUGAUCCAGCCAUGCCGCGUGAGUGAUGAAGGCCUUAGGGUUGUAAAGCUCUUUUAUCCGGGACGAUAAUGACGGUACCGGAGGAAUAAGCCCCGGCUAACUUCGUGCCAGCAGCCGCGGUC